GACGAACGCUGGCGGCGUGCUUAACACAUGCAAGUCGAACGGAAAGGCCCCUUUGGGGGUACUCGAGUGGCGAACGGGUGAGUAACACGUGAGUAACCUGCCCUUGACUUCGGGAUAACUUCAGGAAACUGGGGCUAAUACCGGAUAGGAAUCCUUGCUGCAUGGUGGGGGUUGGAAAGCUUCGGCGGUUUUGGAUGGACUCGCGGCUUAUCAGCUUGUUGGUGGGGUAGUGGCUUACCAAGGCUUUGACGGGUAGCCGGCCUGAGAGGGCGACCGGCCACAUUGGGACUGAGAUACGGCCCAGACGCCGACGGGAGGCAGCAGUGGGGAAUAUUGCACAAUGGGCGGAAGCCGGAUGCAGCAACGCCGCGUGCGGGAUGACGGCCUUCGGGUUGUAAACCGGUUUCAGCAGGGGCGAAGCUUGUGGUGACGGUACCUGCAGAAGAAGCACCGGCUAACUACGUG
This 465-nucleotide ribosomal RNA is filed under the name uncultured bacterium. RNAcentral describes it as "partial 16S ribosomal RNA". It matches the Rfam family "Bacterial small subunit ribosomal RNA", at positions 28 to 507 of the family's 1533-position model. The record is from RNAcentral.